RNAcentral lists this ribosomal RNA (320 nucleotides) under uncultured Pseudomonadota bacterium. Its description in RNAcentral is "bacterial SSU rRNA". It matches the Rfam family "Bacterial small subunit ribosomal RNA", at positions 30 to 351 of the family's 1533-position model. The record is from RNAcentral. Lineage: Bacteria; Pseudomonadati; Pseudomonadota.
AUUGAACGCUGGCGGUAUGCUUAACACAUGCAAGUCGAACGGUAGCAGCUCUUCGGAGGCUGACGAGUGGCGGACGGGUGAGUAACGCGUAGGAAUCUGCCUCAUAGUGGGGGGACAACUUAGGGAAACUUAAGCUAAUACCGCAUACGCCCUACGGGGGAAAGGAGGGGAUCUUCGGACCUUUCGCUAUGAGAUGAGCCUGCGUUAGAUUAGCUAGUUGGUGGGGUAAAGGCCUACCAAGGCGACGAUCUAUAGCUGUUCUGAGAGGAAGAUCAGCCACACUGGGACUGAGACACGGCCCAGACACCUACGGGUGGCUG